CUGCAUGGCCGUCGUCAGCUCGUGACGUGAGAUGUUUGGUUAAGUCCAGCAACGAGCGCAACCCCUGUUGCCAGUUACCAGCACGUGAAGGUGGGGACUCUGGCGAGACUGCCCAGAUCAACUGGGAGGAAGGUGGGGACGACGUCAGGUCAGUAUGGCCCUUAUGCCCAGGGCUGCACACGUACUACAAUGCCCAGUACAGAGGGGGCCGAAGCCGCGAGGCGGAGGAAAUCCUAAAAACUGGGCCCAGUUCGGACUGUAGGCUGCAACCCGCCUACACGAAGCCGGAAUCGCUAGUAAUGGCGCAUCAGCUACGGCGCCGUGAAUACGUUCCCGGGUCUUGUACACACCGCCCGUCACAUCAUGGAAGCCGGUCGCACCCGAAGUAUCUGAAGCCAACCGCAAGGAGGCAGGGUCCUAAGGUGAGACUGGUAACUGGGAUGAAGUCGUAACAAGGUAGCCGUAGGGGAACCUGCGGUUGGAUCACCUC
This 490-nucleotide ribosomal RNA is filed under the name uncultured bacterium. Its description in RNAcentral is "bacterial SSU rRNA". It matches the Rfam family "Bacterial small subunit ribosomal RNA", at positions 1041 to 1529 of the family's 1533-position model. The record is from RNAcentral.